CGCACCUUGCACCCUCUGGUAUCCCGGUGGGUAUGCCUGUUCGAGCGUCAUUUCACCCCUAUCAAGCCGUACCGGUUUGGCGUUAGGUGUCGCCCUGCUUCGGUAGGACGGGCCUUGAAGUUUUUGGCGACCCGGCGUGGUCUCAGGCGUAACGGAUUGUACUGCAAAUCACGCCUGCUCGGCUCGCGUCGGCGUCCUGCCCCUAAACGCAAAUGGACAUCUUGAGAUUGACCUCGGAUCAGGUAGGAGUACCCGCUGAACUUAA
RNAcentral lists this unclassified non-coding RNA (265 nucleotides) under Petractis hypoleuca. Its description in RNAcentral is "partial contains 5.8S ribosomal RNA, internal transcribed spacer 2, and large subunit ribosomal RNA". Lineage: Eukaryota; Fungi; Ascomycota; Lecanoromycetes; Ostropales; Gyalectaceae. The record is from RNAcentral.